UAAGUACGAAAAAGUUGAGGGCACAGGAUUUUGGAACCAGUUCCUCAGUUCUCUAUUCUAGCCCUUUACCCUGUUUCCAGAUCAGUGGAAUGAUCUCCUUGAAGAUGAUGUAGUUUAAUGGGGGCAAAAGGGUGUUGGUCAUGUAGGAAUCCACUAGCUUGAUGUUUUCUACACAGAUUUCUCUUGCCUGUCUCUGGAAUUGUUGCAAACUGUUCUGCAUGAAUGAAUUUUUCUGAAGAAUUCUGGGAGAAGCAGGUUGUUGCUGUAGGGAGGGCAUUUGAAGGAGACUUUCCCUUGCUUGUGUUUUGUCUUUGUGGCAAGCUGUUUGAAACAUCUAUGGCUAAACAGCACUUGUCACCCAGUUGUGAAGAAGAGUGAUUUCUCUAAGGCAUUUAAUUUUUUAGACCGCCAAAAGUUUUGCUGGUUUCUUUUUUCCUCAACAUUUAGGUAAUGUGCCUUCGUCAUUCAUAUCUGUGAAGAUGUUACUUGCCACCAUGUGUGUGUCAUGUAAGGUUUUCAUGGCUCUAUGAGAAAUAUAGUUGCCUUUCCAAAUGUAAUUGCAUUGGAAAAAUAUGCAGAGCCACCAGGCCACAAUUUCUUACAGGUGGAUUUUGUUGAGCAGGGAAUAAAAGGCCAGGAGACAGUGCUGAAAAUCAAGAUAGUAUUUGUAUUCUUAAACUUAUAACCACUGGCCUUUUGAGCAAAGUAGCCUCUAAUAUAUCUUGCUUUCUCUUGAUUACUUCUGGUUCUAUGAGGAAUGGCCUCUGCAGAGUACUAUCUAAAAUGAUCCACUUUCUUUUCCUUCUCUUUUUAAACAGUUUUAGUCCUUUCCUAUUUUUUAAAAUGUUGGAAUAUGUUAUAUAUAUUUGUUGUUGUUGUUGCAAAAUAGCUGGCUCUAACAUCACUUGCAUCUAGAAGAAAAUGUAUCUAUUUGCAGGCAAAUAACUAGUUUUACUUUCACUGUGAUAUACUCCCAGCAGAUAUCUGAGAGUGAGUUAUGACUACAUCUUCUCUUGUCAGGUUGUAUGCUGGUCAACAAUGCUGGCACUUUGCUUCGGAUCAAUAUAGAACUCCCUAGUAAUAUUUUACCAUACAUCACAUUUUGUGUUCCUGUUACUAUUAAAAUCAAACACAAAAACAAAACUGUGGCAGGAGUCAAUAAACACUGGGUCAUGUUAAA
RNAcentral lists this long non-coding RNA (1180 nucleotides) under Strigops habroptila (Kakapo). RNAcentral describes it as "lncRNA (ENSSHBG00005003665.1)". The record is from RNAcentral. Lineage: Eukaryota; Metazoa; Chordata; Aves; Psittaciformes; Psittacidae.